RNAcentral lists this non-coding RNA (265 nucleotides) under Pseudobacteroides cellulosolvens. RNAcentral's name for it is "c-di-GMP sequence". The stretch from base 1 to 94 matches the Rfam family "c-di-GMP-I riboswitch aptamer". The record is from RNAcentral. Lineage: Bacteria; Bacillati; Bacillota; Clostridia; Eubacteriales; Oscillospiraceae.
UUUCGACAAUGGCAAACCUUUCGAAAGAAAGGGACGCAAAACUUCAGGUCUAAUGUUUAUACCAAUUUUUAUACUUAAGAAUUGGAUUCCAGGAAUUUUAUAGGGUUAUCUUCCAGGCAGUAAUUCUAUUAUUAAAAGCAAUUUCAUGCUUUUAAUUCAUGAUUUUCAGCAAUGGUUAAUUCAUCUUUAUCAUACCCCAAAUGGAAGUACUCUUUUUUAAUCCUUGAAAAUUUCCUGGCAUGACUAUGACGGCUGAGUAACCGAA